GACGAACGCUGGCGGCGUGCUUAACACAUGCAAGUCGAACGGAAAGGCCCUGCCUUUGUGGGGUGCUCGAGUGGCGAACGGGUGAGUAACACGUGAGUAACCUGCCAUUGACUUUGGGAUAACUUCAGGAAACUGGGGCUAAUACCGGAUAGGAGCUCCUGCUGCAUGGUGGGGGUUGGAAAGUUUCGGCGGUUGGGGAUGGACUCGCGGCUUAUCAGCUUGUUGGUGGGGUAGUGGCUUACCAAGGCUUUGACGGGUAGCCGGCCUGAGAGGGGGACCGGCCACAUUGGGACUGAGAUACGGCCCAGACUCCUACGGGAGGCAGGAGUGGGGAAUAUUGCACAAUGGGCGGAAGCCUGAUGCAGCAACGCCGCGUGCGGGAUGACGGCCUUCGGGUUGUAAACCGCUUUCGCCUGUGACGAAGCGUGAGUGACGGUAAUGGGUAAAGAAGCACCGGCUAACUACGUG
RNAcentral lists this ribosomal RNA (468 nucleotides) under uncultured bacterium. RNAcentral describes it as "partial 16S ribosomal RNA". It matches the Rfam family "Bacterial small subunit ribosomal RNA", at positions 28 to 507 of the family's 1533-position model. The record is from RNAcentral.